GUCCACUCAUCCUAGAAUUAGGAUGCUAAUUAUUUUUGUAGCAUAGUAGGUGGAAGCACUACUUUUAAAAAUCACAUUAGGAUAUCUAAGAUAAUUCAAAAUUUUAAAAUAUUAUUCUUUCUAAUAUCAAUAAAUUUCUUGUAUCAAACCAUAUCAUUUAUCAUAAUUUUUUGACUCAAAGAAUCAACAUUCCUGACUUACUCAAAGUAAUCCAGAUUACCAUGCUUCCGCUGCGCACUC
Molecule: long non-coding RNA, 240 nt
Filed under: Elaeis guineensis (African oil palm)
Lineage: Eukaryota; Viridiplantae; Streptophyta; Magnoliopsida; Arecales; Arecaceae
Description: long non-coding RNA (EGUI_LNC006149)
Source: RNAcentral